This 63-nucleotide transfer RNA is filed under the name Mytilisepta keenae. Its description in RNAcentral is "tRNA-Gly". The record is from RNAcentral. Lineage: Eukaryota; Metazoa; Mollusca; Bivalvia; Mytilida; Mytilidae.
AUAUUUAUAGUAAAUUUAUUAUAUUUGCCUUCCAAGCAAAAGUUCCAGUAGAUGGUAAAUAUU